GGAAUAAGUAGCGAGAAUUAUGUGAGAAUCAUAAUGGCCGAAAAUCUAAGGUUUCCUGGGGAAGGUUCGUCCGCCCAGGGUUAGUCGGGAGCUAAGCUCAGGCCGAAAGGCGUAGGCGAUGCACAUACGGUAGAAAUUCCGUAACCACCGAACUUUAAGCUAGAGGGACGCUUUCUUUAAGGUUAUCCCGGGCGAUGGUUGCCCCGGGCGUAAGGGACCGAAAUUUAGUAGGGAAGUAACUGGCGAGAGAGACGAGAAAAGCUCUAGUGUAUACUAAGGUGCCCGUACCGCAAACCGACACAGGUAGAAGGGAUGAGUAUUCUAAGGCCAACGGGAGAAGGGUUGUUAAGGAACUCGGCAAAUUGGCCCCGUAACUUCGGGAUAAGGGGCGCCUGCGAGAGCAGGCCGCAGUGAAAAGGCCCAAGCGACUGUUUAGCAAAAACACAGCUCUCUGCUAAAUCGAAAGAUGACGUAUAGGGGGUGACGCCUGCCCGGUGCUGGAAGGUUAAGGGGAGUGCUUAGCGCAAGCGAAGGUGCGAACUUAAGCCCCAGUAAACGGCGGCCGUAACUAUAACGGUCCUAAGGUAGCGAAAUUCCUUGUCAGGUAAGUUCUGACCCGCACGAAUGGCGUAACGAUUUGGGCACUGUCUCAACAGCCCGCCCGGCGAAAUUGUAGUACCGGUGAAGAUGCCGGUUUCCCGCAACUAGACGGAAAGACCCCAUGGAGCUUCACUGUAGCUUGAUAUUGGAUCUCGGUAUUCCAUGUACAGGAUAGGUGGGAGGCUAGGAAGCGAGCGCGCCAGCGUUCGUGGAGCCGUCCUUGGGAUACCACUCUUGGGAUAUUGGAGUUCUAACCUGCGACCAUGAAUCUGGUCGGGGGACAUUGUCAGGUGGGCAGUUUGACUGGGGCGGUCGCCUCCAAAAGAGUAACGGAGGCGCUCAAAGGUUCGUUCAGCACGGACGGAAAUCGUGCACUGAGUGUAAACGCAUAAACGAGCCUAACUGCGAGAAUGACGGUUCGAGCAGUAACGAAAGUUGGAGUUAGUGAUCCGGCGGUAUGUGAAUGGAAAUGCCGUCGCUCAACGGAUAAAAGCUACCCUGGGGAUAACAGGCUGAUCUCCCCCAAGAGUCCACAUCGACGGGGAGGUUUGGCACCUCGAUGUCGGCUCAUCGCAUCCUGGGGCUGAAUUCGGUCCCAAGGGUUUGGCUGUUCGCCAAUUAAAGCGGUACGCGAGCUGGGUUCAGAACGUCGUGAGACAGUUCGGUCCCUAUCUGUUGCGGGCGCAGGAAUAUUGAGAGGAGCUGUCCUUAGUACGAGAGGACCGGGAUGGACGUACCGCUGGUGCACCAGUUGUUCUGCCAAGGGCAUAGCUGGGUAGCUAAGUACGGACGAGAUAAACGCUGAAGGCAUCUAAGCGUGAAACUCCCCUCGAGAUAAGUGUUCCCAUCCUUCGGGAGUAAGGCCCCUUGUAGACUACAAGGUUGAUAGGUCAGGAGUGGAAGUGCAGUAAUGUAUGGAGCGGACUGAUACUAAUAGGCCGAGGGCUUGACCUA
RNAcentral lists this ribosomal RNA (1554 nucleotides) under human gut metagenome. RNAcentral's name for it is "bacterial LSU rRNA". It matches the Rfam family "Bacterial large subunit ribosomal RNA", at positions 1299 to 2925 of the family's 2925-position model. The record is from RNAcentral.